GACGAACGCUGGCGGCGUGCUUAACACAUGCAAGUCGAACGGAAAGGCCCUGCUUUUGUGGGGUGCUCGAGUGGCGAACGGGUGAGUAACACGUGAGUAACCUGCCCUUGACUUUGGGAUAACUUCAGGAAACUGGGGCUAAUACCGGAUAGGAGCUCCUGCUGCAUGGUGGGGGUUGGAAAGUUUCGGCGGUUGGGGAUGGACUCGCGGCUUAUCAGCUUGUUGGUGGGGUAGUGGCUUACCAAGGCUUUGACGGGUAGCCGGCCUGGGAGGGUGACCGGCCACAUUGGGACUGAGAUACGGCCCAGACUCCAACGGGAGGCAGCAGUGGGAAAUAUUGCACAAUGGGCGGAAGCCUGAUGCGGCAACGCCGCGUGCGGGAUGACGGCCUUCGGGUUGUAAACCGCUUUCGCCUGUGACGAAGCGUGAGUGACGGUAAUGGGUAAAGAAGCACCGGCUAACUACGUG
RNAcentral lists this ribosomal RNA (468 nucleotides) under uncultured bacterium. RNAcentral's name for it is "partial 16S ribosomal RNA". It matches the Rfam family "Bacterial small subunit ribosomal RNA", at positions 28 to 507 of the family's 1533-position model. The record is from RNAcentral.